AGUGAACGCUGGCGGUAGGCCUAACACAUGCCAGUCGAACGGCAGCACAGUAAGAGCUUGCUCUUACGGGUGGCGAGUGGCGGACGGGUGAGGAAUACAUCGGAAUCUACUUUUUCGUGGGGGUUAACGUAGGGAAACUUACGCUAAUACCGCAUACGACCUUCGGGUGAAAGCAGGGGAUCUUCGGACCUUGCGCGAUCGAAUGAGCCGAUGUCGGAUUAGCUAGUUGGCGGGGUAAAGGCCCACCAAGGCGACGAUCCGUAGCUGGUCUGAGAGGAUGAUCAGCCACACUGGAACUGAGACACGGUCCAGACUCCUACGGGAGGCAGCAGUGGGGAAUAUUGGACAAUGGGCGCAAGCCUGAUCCAGCCAUACCGCGUGGGUGAAGAAGGCCUUCGGGUUGUAAAGCCCUUUUGUUGGGAAAGAAAAGCAGCAGGUUAAUACCCCGCUGUUCUGACGGUACCCAAAGAAUAAGCACCGGCUAACUUCGUG
Molecule: ribosomal RNA, 492 nt
Filed under: uncultured bacterium
Lineage: Bacteria
Description: partial 16S ribosomal RNA
Rfam family: Bacterial small subunit ribosomal RNA
Source: RNAcentral